Molecule: ribosomal RNA, 253 nt
Filed under: uncultured bacterium
Lineage: Bacteria
Description: partial 16S ribosomal RNA
Rfam family: Bacterial small subunit ribosomal RNA
Source: RNAcentral
UACGUAGGGGGCAAGCGUUGUCCGGAUUUAUUGGGCGUAAAGAGCGUGUAGGCGGCCAGAUAGGUCCGUUGUGAAAACUCGAGGCUCAACCUCGAGACGCCGAUGGAAACCAUCUGGCUAGAGUCCGGAAGAGGAGAGUGGAAUUCCCGGUGUAGCGGUGAAAUGCGCAGAUAUCGGGAAGAACAUCCGUGGCUAAGGCGGCUCUCUAGUACGGUACUGACGCUGAGACGCGAAAGCGUGGGGAGCGAACAGG